CAGAGUCAGGCACGACUGAAGCGACUUAGCAGCAGCAGCAGCAGCAGCAGCAGACCUGAUGUCCGAAUGAAGUCUCACCAGGACCGCCUUCUGAAAUGGAACUUCCAGAAACAGCAGACAGACUGCUGAUCAGCCAUCCCA
This is a long non-coding RNA of Bubalus bubalis (water buffalo), 141 nucleotides long. RefSeq lists it as uncharacterized. Lineage: Eukaryota; Metazoa; Chordata; Mammalia; Artiodactyla; Bovidae. The transcript has 2 exons. The record is from RefSeq and is a predicted model, not a curated record.